GGUGACAGCGGAGGGAUCAUUACCGAGUACUAUAACUCAUAACCCUUUGUGAACCUUUAUACCUGUUGCUUCGGCGGCGCGCCUCCCGGGGCGUGCCCGCCGGUAUCAUCAGAAUCUCUGUUCGAACCCGACGAUAUUUCUGAGUGUUCUAAGCGAACUGUUAAAACUUUCAACAACGGAUCUCUUGGCUCCAGCAUCGAUGAAGAACGCAGCGAAACGCGAUAUGUAAUGUGAAUUGCAGAAUUCAGUGAAUCAUCGAAUCUUUGAACGCACAUGGCGCCUUCCAGUAUCCUGGGAGGCAUGCCUGUCCGAGCGUCGUUUCAACCCUCGAGCCCCCGUGGCCCGGCGUUGGGGAUCUGCCCAGGCAGUCCCCGAAAACCAGUGGCGGACCCGUUACAGGCCCUUCCCUUGCGUAGUAGCAUUCGCCUCGCAUCGGGAGCCGGCGGGCUUCCAGCCUCUAAACCCCCAUCAAGUCCGCCCCGGCGGCACCAAGGUUGACCUCGGAUCAGGUAGGAAUACCCGCUGAACUUAAGCAUAUC
This is a ribosomal RNA of 539 nucleotides. The stretch from base 165 to 318 matches the Rfam family "5.8S ribosomal RNA".